CUAUUACAGUAGUUGACAGCUUUUUUCCAUAAUAAAUUACAGGCAUACUUGCGCUUGACUGUAAAUGAUGCAGUACAGGUACAGUUAUUUACUGUUGAAUGCGUUGCACGAGGCAGUUGCUUUACACAAGACAAUUUGAUGGCGGAUUGCAGAGGAGCAGCCACAUUGCCACUCCACUCAGCCACAAUACCCUAGCUACGGGGAGGAAACCUCCUAAAGUGAGAACCAUCGCUGCACAGUGAUCAACAACAUACAUGGCUGAAGAAGCUUUUCAGGUGAAUUUCUCACAGAAACCGUUUGGAUGCUGAGCAUUGGGGGUCAGGUGGUUGUGCCUCCACAUCCUAACUUCGUGGCUGGAUUGGCAGCUUUGUUUUCGAGCUACUACAUCUUUAAUCUGGUGUACCCGGAGCAAGCAUCUUGCACACUAAAAUUCAUUCAAAGAUGCUUCAUCGGACUGAACCCUUCAAGUGGAACCAACAAAAGUGUUGAGCCAAAAACAUGAGAACAUACAGGAGAAAGAGAGGAACUGCAUUAACCCUCGCGUCUCCUCUCUACUCAGCGGGAGGUAGCGGGAGAGGUAGACGUCAACAAAUGACAAAAAGCAACACAGAUGGUUCCCCAAAAUGCUCUCCAAGAUUCAGUUCACCAAUUAAACACGGAGCACACCGAACAGACUUGAGUCACCAACCUCACCGGACUGUCAGGUUGAUUAUCGGGUUGGUUCUAUCAUGGUCAUGAUGAGCUCUUAAGAAAAAUAGAAGUUACCUUCUGAAAACAUACAGUAUUGUUACACUGUGUUGAAUUUUAAUAAUAAAAUGUCAUGAUUUUGCAUCUCUGACUCUGGUUUUAUUUUACAGUUGAAGAGAAUCUAAUGCAAUGGUUUUUGAAUUAAAAGCAAGCUUGGUCUUAUUUAAAACACUUUACA
Molecule: long non-coding RNA, 925 nt
Organism: Etheostoma spectabile (orangethroat darter)
Lineage: Eukaryota; Metazoa; Chordata; Actinopteri; Perciformes; Percidae
Exons: 4
Source: RefSeq, a predicted model, not a curated record